AGAGGGAGCAAGCGUUGUUCGGAUUUACUGGGCGUAAAGGGCGCGCAGGCGGGCAUAUAAGUCGGACGUGAAAAUUGCGGGCUCAACCUGCAACCUGCGUCCGAUACUGUUUGUCUUGAGUACAGGAGAGGUGAGUGGAAUCGGCAGUGUAGCGGUGAAAUGCGUAGAUAUUGUCGAGAACACCGGUGGCGAAGGCGGCUCACUGGCCUGAUACUGACGCUGAGGCGCGAAAGCUAGGGGAGCGAACAGGAUUAGAUACCCUGGUAGUCCUAGCCCGUAAACGAUGGGCACUAGGUGUUGGAGGUGUUGACCCCUUCAGUGCCGUAGCUAACGCAUUAAGUGCCCCCCGCCUGGGAGUACGGUCGCAAGGCUG
This 373-nucleotide ribosomal RNA is filed under the name uncultured organism. RNAcentral describes it as "partial 16S ribosomal RNA". It matches the Rfam family "Bacterial small subunit ribosomal RNA", at positions 527 to 896 of the family's 1533-position model. The record is from RNAcentral.